CCUACGGGUGGCAGCAGUGGGGAAUAUUGCACAAUGGGCGAAAGCCUGAUGCAGCGACGCCGCGUGAGUGAAGAAGGUUUUCGGUAUGUAAAGCUCUAUCAGCAGGGAAGAAAAUGACGGUACCUGACUAAGAAGCACCGGCUAACUCCGUGCCAGCAGCCGCGGUAAUACGUAGGGGGCAAGCGUUAUUCGGAUUUACUGGGUGUAAAGUGAGCGUAGGCGGCAUAGCAAGUCAGAAGUGAAAACCCAGGGCUCAACCCUGGGACUGCUUUUGAAACUGUUUUGCUAGAGUGUCGGAGAGGUUAGUGGAAUUCCUGGUGUAGGGGUGAAAUGCGUAGAUAUUAGGAGGAACACCAGUGGCGAAGGCGACUUACUGGACGAUAACUGACGUUGAGGCGCGAAAGCGUGGGGAGCAAACAGGAUUAGAUACCCUUGUAGUC
This 440-nucleotide ribosomal RNA is filed under the name uncultured bacterium. Its description in RNAcentral is "partial 16S ribosomal RNA". It matches the Rfam family "Bacterial small subunit ribosomal RNA", at positions 338 to 795 of the family's 1533-position model. The record is from RNAcentral.